RNAcentral lists this small RNA (228 nucleotides) under Arabidopsis thaliana (thale cress). Its description in RNAcentral is "ATSL068030". Lineage: Eukaryota; Viridiplantae; Streptophyta; Magnoliopsida; Brassicales; Brassicaceae. The record is from RNAcentral.
AACCAGAUAAUUAUAAUUAAGAAAUAUGAUUUAUGUAAAAAUUUAUAAACGCAGAAGCGAGAUGGGAGUUCCGGUUGAUGAAAGUCUAUUUUUAUCGAUGCUUGUAAAGAUCAUCAACGCGAAAAACACUAUCGAGAUCGGUGUGUUCACCGGUUACUCACUUUUCACCGUAGCUCUUGCUUUGCCUGAAGAUGGCCGUGUAAUGAUUCUUCUUCUUGCUAUCAUACC